RNAcentral lists this ribosomal RNA (509 nucleotides) under uncultured bacterium. RNAcentral's name for it is "bacterial SSU rRNA". It matches the Rfam family "Bacterial small subunit ribosomal RNA", at positions 28 to 526 of the family's 1533-position model. The record is from RNAcentral.
GAUGAACGCUAGCGGCAGGCUUAACACAUGCAAGUCGAGGGGCAGCAUGAAUCAAGCUUGCUUGAUUCGAUGGCGACCGGCGCACGGGUGCGUAACGCGUAUCCAAUCUACCCAUGGCUCAGGGAUAGCCUUGCGAAAGUAAGAUUAAUACCUGAUGGUCUCGCUUGGGGACAUCCCCCUGCGAGUAAAGAUUCAUCGGCGAUGGAUGGGGAUGCGUCCGAUUAGCUGGUUGGCGGGGUAACGGCCCACCAAGGCAACGAUCGGUAGGGGUUCUGAGAGGAAGGUCCCCCACACUGGAACUGAGACACGGUCCAGACUCCUACGGGAGGCAGCAGUGAGGAAUAUUGGUCAAUGGUCGAGAGACUGAACUAGCCAAGUAGCGUGAGGGAUGACUGCCCUAUGGGUUGUAGACCUCUUUUGUUUGGGAAUAAAGUGCGGUACGCGUACCGCUUUGUAUGUACCUUACGAAUAAGCAUCGGCUAAUUCCGUGCCAGCCGCCGCGGUAAGAC